GAGGGUAUUGCCCAGUAGAGUGUAUGCCUAGCAUGCACAAGGUCCUGGGUUCGAUCCCCAGUGCCUCCA
RNAcentral lists this transfer RNA (69 nucleotides) under Camelus bactrianus (Bactrian camel). It matches the Rfam family "tRNA". Rfam says of the family: Transfer RNA (tRNA) molecules are approximately 80 nucleotides in length. Their secondary structure includes four short double-helical elements and three loops (D, anti-codon, and T loops). Lineage: Eukaryota; Metazoa; Chordata; Mammalia; Artiodactyla; Camelidae. RNAcentral also lists the same sequence under 2 other names. The record is from Rfam by way of RNAcentral.